UGGGGAAUUUUGGACAAUGGGGGCAACCCUGAUCCAGCCAUGCCGCGUGCGGGAAGAAGGCCUUCGGGUUGUAAACCGCUUUUAGUCGGGAAGAAAGGGUUCUCCUGAAUACGGAGGAUUUUUGACGGUACCGGCGGAAUAAGCACCGGCUAACUACGUGCCAGCAGCCGCGGUAAUACGUAGGGUGCGAGCGUUAAUCGGAAUUACUGGGCGUAAAGCGUGCGUAGGCGGUUCUCCAAGUCCGUUGUGAAAGCCCCGGGCUCAACCUGGGAAUGGCAGUGGAAACUAGGGGACUGGAAUCUGGCAGAGGGGGGUGGAAUGCCGCGUGUAGCAGUGAAAUGCGUAGAGAUGCGGCGGAACACCGAUGGCGAAGGCAGCCCCCUGGGCUGAGAUUGACGCUCAGGCACGAAAGCGUGGGGAGCAAACAGGAUUAGAUACCCCCGUAGUCC
This 449-nucleotide ribosomal RNA is filed under the name uncultured bacterium. Its description in RNAcentral is "bacterial SSU rRNA". It matches the Rfam family "Bacterial small subunit ribosomal RNA", at positions 355 to 796 of the family's 1533-position model. The record is from RNAcentral.